Molecule: long non-coding RNA, 438 nt
Filed under: Equus caballus (horse)
Lineage: Eukaryota; Metazoa; Chordata; Mammalia; Perissodactyla; Equidae
Description: lncRNA (ENSECAG00000046042.1)
Source: RNAcentral
CUCAUAAAGUCCCAAGCUCAUAAAGUCUGAGUAUGAAAUUCAGAGACUAGAGUGUCUGAAACAAUACCACACAGAGAAAGAGACAUUCUUUUUCACACUUGGAAAAAACAGCUUUGCAUGAUGGAGUGAGAAUCCUCCCAAGAUGCUUGUCUAGGCGAGAACGUGCAGGCGCCCAUCACACACACAAUGACACACAUACACACACACUCAGACACCCCUCAGGGACAUUACAGGAUCGUGGACUACACCAGUCAGGCAUCAAGAGCAGAACAGGUACAGUGAAUGACCCACAGGGUGUCCCUGGGGAAAUCAGCUCAGAGGCUGUCCUGAGGGUUGAAAUGGGACUAGGGGUGACAGCAGGUGUCUCAGAGGCAUAAGGGGUCUUCAGGGAGGAGGGAGGACAUCAGGGAGCUGGAUAGUGAUGUCAAGGGAGGAAGG